CACAAACUUCUGAGCUAAUGAGAAGGCUCUAGCAACACAGAGGCCAGGCCUAGUGCUGCUGCCAGGGGAAGGAUAGCAACCACUAGGACAGACAAAUAAAUAUCCAUUCUCAGCUGCCUUCCUGUGAGCAUCACAACCUGCAGCACAAAAGAGAUAAUGGCAGAUCCUUCAGUGGUGGAUCACCUGACACGACUGAAACUCAAACUCCUAGAAAAGAGACUAGAAAAUGAACAGGAGAACCUAGAGAAGAUGGAGUUGUCUCUCCCAGCUGCACGGAGCAGGCCUCAGGACACGCUCCGGAGUGCCCUGAGGCAAAGGAAAGAUCUGCUGCAGGAGCUUAGGGAGCAGCGCCUUCUGGAAGAGCUUUCACAGCCACCUGCACCAGCUGGAGGACACUGCCAUGACCACAGAGCUGCCCUCCCACAGGUCUACGAGAUCCCUUUUCCAGCUUCCCAAGCGGAGCCACCAAGGAUUAUCCAGCAGACAAUGCCAGCUCAGCCUGCCACCAUCAUCCAGCAGUUGCCUCAGCCAUCCCCUGUGAUCACACAGAUUCCCCCAGCCCCGACCUUUGCAGCCCCCCGCUCUGGGAGCAUUAAGGAAGACAUGGUAGAGAUGAUGCUGAUGCAGAAUGCUCAGAUGCACCAGGUCAUGAUGCAGAACAUGAUGCUGAAGGCUCUGCCCCCGACGGCGCUGGCACAGCUCGGAGGAGGCAGCUCUGCCCUGCUGCAGCACCCACAGCAGGACUUUCAGCCUGCUGCUCCCCUGGCCCUGAAGGCAGACAGGCCCAGGCCUCCUGUGGUGCACCACCACCACCAUUACCCUCCCCCAGGGGUGUUCCCAGUGCCCCCCAGCAGCCUCCUGCCCACGGCCGCGGCGCAGCACUGGGACGGCAGCUCUGCCCAGCCCGGGUAAGUCAGCAGGCAGCUGGGACCUGCCCUUGCAGCCCUUCCUCCCUGCCCAGGUGGGGAGGGUGUGGAAUGGACACGGGGAUCUGGCAGAGAUGAGCAUCACACAGAUCCCCACCCUGCCGUGCUGCACUGCUCUGCCUUGCAGGGGCUCACCCCACCUCUGGUCUCCCUGCACACCCAGCAGCAUCUGCUAAAUAAGGUGGGGAGAUGGGGAAGAGUUUUACAUGCAGGCUAAGGUUCCCAGCAGGAUUCAUGUUCUCAGAGCACUGCUGGGGCAUUGGCUAAUCAGAAAUUCCUGGGGAAAUAAAACCCCAAACGACCAGCUAAGAAAAAUGGUACAAUGGGAGGGGAGUAUCAGAAAUAAUGCUGAGCCUUUGCCAUAAGCUUGCAGAUGAGGGGGGUGGGUUUUGAGUGUAAAAAUAGAUUAACUUCUCCCCAGGAUGCUCCCAGAUCCACAGAGCCCCUGUGCCCUGUGCAGAGAUCACAGCCAGCCCCUCCAGGGCUCACGUGCCUUGUGCCUUCCUCUGAGCCUGUCCUGCUUGGCUUCCUAGGUGCUAGGAACUUCUUACAUGCCAAGGCUGGCCAAGAAAUGCACCUUGCUGGAGCAUAGAAGGGGGGGUGACAUGGGGACACACUGUGAGAACUCAGCUUUAUUUCUGUGCCAUGGCUCUUUGAGAGCCUUAGUGAACAGAACAGGAUGGAGGCAGCUGCAGCCUUGGGCACGGGUGACCUGCUGGCAGGGAUAUCUGUACAGCCCUCUUUAGCAGAGGAUUUGAAUUCCUGAACAGAUUAUUUAGCUAAUGGGAUUACAAGGGAUGAACAUUUCUACCUAUUUCCCCUUGACACGGGUUUGUAAUCUGAACCAGUAAAGAACUCCUGGCUGCUGUCAGGAUCAGUGCAAUUCACUGUUUGCAGAAAUCAGUAGCUCUUGCCAUGGCCUUUGAAUUAUGUUCUUCCUCUUCCUCAGCUGCCUUCCACCACAAGGUGGCCCAUGUACUGAUAGUACAGGAUCCUCUGCAAGUGGACCAUAGCCUUUCUAAAAACAAUAAAAUCCUGAUGUUCUUCCUCA
Molecule: RNA transcript, 1977 nt
Organism: Prinia subflava (tawny-flanked prinia)
Lineage: Eukaryota; Metazoa; Chordata; Aves; Passeriformes; Cisticolidae
Gene: C6H21orf58
Gene name: chromosome 6 C21orf58 homolog
Exons: 9
Source: RefSeq, a predicted model, not a curated record